UUAUCAAAUGCCUUUUUGCCCACUUUACACAUUUAAACCCCCUCCAGGGGGUCCCCACGCUUACAGUUCUCUGGUUGUAAAGGCCACGUGUUCCUGUGCUAACUUCCCUGCUGCGGGCCUGGGCUCCCGCACCGGCCAUACUGUUUUCUGUCUAUGGCUUACAUUAAGCCAUGUGAGUUUUCUGGUGAGACAUCAAUGUUCUAAAUGUGAAGACAAGCCUUUUUACUCCCAUUGUCAGUGCUUAAGAUUUCACAAUCUACAAUUUUUUUUUUUUUUUUUUUUUUUUUGCAUUUCUAUUUACAUUUCAUUUAUUACCUGUUAUUGGGAACUUCUGGUGACAUGACUUUGCUGGCCGUGUGUACUUCUUCAGCACUGAAACAACUGAUGGGAAGAACACACGU
Molecule: long non-coding RNA, 401 nt
Organism: Herpailurus yagouaroundi (jaguarundi)
Lineage: Eukaryota; Metazoa; Chordata; Mammalia; Carnivora; Felidae
Exons: 3
Source: RefSeq, a predicted model, not a curated record